This 24-nucleotide non-coding RNA is filed under the name Arabidopsis thaliana (thale cress). Lineage: Eukaryota; Viridiplantae; Streptophyta; Magnoliopsida; Brassicales; Brassicaceae. The record is from RNAcentral.
CUCGCUAAUAUGUGGUUUGGUCUC